GGAGGCCUGCUACUCAUGGUGAAGGCAGCUAGCUCUAAACCUCCCUUAGUGAGGGAUGACCUGUGUGUAUGGAUUCAACAUGAAAGACUGAGGAGAUCCGUUAUCAAAAUGUACCAAAGAGUUGUACUGGGACGUGUGCCAGGCACUUGUGAUACAGCCAAUAGAGAGCAGACCAGGAGCCAAGCCUGACAGAGAGCAACUGUCGGAUGUGCAGAUUCAGUCCAGAUCUCUCUCUCCCGAUUGCCCCCUGUUCAAGAUUCCUGGGUGAAGAAUGCACCACCGUUGGGAUGCUGUCUGUAAAGCUGGCUGUUUUUGCAUAAGACUCAGCCUGGGCUCAAGGCAGCCCUUCCUCUGCUUGCAUUUCUCUGAAAAUGAAUUCUGCUAGGUAGGAGUGCAGGGUACUCAAAUAGUAGGCACUCAGAAUCUCCUGCUGUGAUUGCUUCUUGCUUCUUCCUUCAUAGAUCAUUAAAAUGCCGCCGAACCAUAGCUGUCCGGAAAGGACAGCUUAAAAAGAGAAAAGUAAAAUAUUUAUAAAUAAUUAAAAUGUAAACCAGUGACCCAGGACUAGGAAUAUGCACAUGCAUUAAUAGUGUUAGCGAGGUAAUGAAUUCUAAGUGGCACUAGCCUGUAAUUCCAUAGAAUAGACGACUUCUUCAAGAGGGUGAUUUACCUUGAAAGCAUAGCUCAGGUGCCUUUUUUGAUAUGGUUUUGCUGUUGCUAUGGAAAUUGUCUCUGUAGGAAUGUGCACAAAUGUAGGCUAGAUUGCUAGUGGCAUGGGUAAGGAGGUGUGGGCUGGGGGCAGGCAUGUUGACACUUGCCAGUCUCCAGCUUUGGUCGGAAGGAGACUGGCACAGAGUGGAGCGUAGGCGGUGGGUAGGUCCCACCUUGGAUAUCUGGGGAAUGAGAGACCCCAGGACUUAGUUCUGCACUCUGCUGUUUGAGUGACCUAUUAUGGUUGCUAUCUCAGUUUUCUCAUUAAGAAUUCUCUCACUGUCGGUGUCAUCGAGUCUAGUUGGACAAAGAGUCUAACAGUUACUGCAGAAUGUAACCCCCGCCCCCCCCCCCACAAUGAGAAAAAUGUAUUGAAGUAAUUCUGUAGACCUUUCAUGAUUCCCUGCCCUCUAACAGACACACACACACACACACACACACACACACACACACACACACACACGGGACUUAAGCUAUUUUCUGGGUGAGAACCAUUGUUUCCUACCCAUAAACUCCUGACUUCCAUCACAGUCCUGGAUUAACAGCUGUGGUUCCACACACCCAGAAGAAGGAACAGGUCAUCUUUUGUAGCUUCACAGGGAGAAAUUGAAAUUGUGUUGA
Long non-coding RNA from Mus musculus (house mouse), 1332 nucleotides. RefSeq annotates it as predicted gene, 32027. The record is from RefSeq and is a predicted model, not a curated record. The transcript is spliced from 3 exons. Lineage: Eukaryota; Metazoa; Chordata; Mammalia; Rodentia; Muridae.